UACGGAGGGGGCUAGCGUUGUUCGGAAUUACUGGGCGUAAAGCGCACGUAGGCGGCUUUGCAAGUUAGAGGUGAAAGCCCGGGGCUCAACCCCGGAAUUGCCUUUAAAACUGCAUCGCUAGAAUUGUGGAGAGGUAAAUGGAAUUCCGAGUGUAGAGGUGAAAUUCGUAGAUAUUCGGAAGAACACCAGUGGCGAAGGCGACUUAUUGGACACAUAUUGACGCUGAGGUGCGAAAGCGUGGGGAGCAAACAGG
This 253-nucleotide ribosomal RNA is filed under the name uncultured bacterium. Its description in RNAcentral is "partial 16S ribosomal RNA". It matches the Rfam family "Bacterial small subunit ribosomal RNA", at positions 524 to 776 of the family's 1533-position model. The record is from RNAcentral.